This is a long non-coding RNA of Poecilia latipinna (sailfin molly), 1032 nucleotides long. RefSeq lists it as uncharacterized. Lineage: Eukaryota; Metazoa; Chordata; Actinopteri; Cyprinodontiformes; Poeciliidae. The record is from RefSeq and is a predicted model, not a curated record. The transcript has 2 exons.
AAAAACACAGCAGGAAGCAGUUUGCUGACUUAUGAAAAAGAUGUUUGUUCCUCUUUUAUGGCCCAGCUCUGACAUUCACAAAGCAGAGAAUUACAUCAGCAAACUUGGGUUAAGAAGUUACUAAAUGAGAAAGAAUUCAUACUGGAGUUUUCUUACUUUUCUUUGGUAGAAAUUCUUUCUGUCCUUAUUUGGUAGUUUUUGCAUUUUGAGGACCUUGGAAAAGGGAUCGCAGCAUACGAUAAACAUUUGCUCUUCCACUAACAGCCAGCCCCCGCCCUCCGCCCCACAGCCAACUACAUACAUUCCCUUUUCAAGUCACAGAGUGGACAAGCUGUUCAGGCAGCUUAGGGAGCCUUUAUCUUCCAUAGUCCUUCUCCAUCUGCAAUGGGCUAAAUAAGGUCAUAUUAAGAAGAAAGACGUUCAAUGGUCAAACCCCACGGAUCUGUCUGGGAAGUAAGAAAACCCACAAUCCUAUGUCUGUGUCAAUGUAUGUUCCAAGUUGCUUUUGUUUCACCAAACAUUUAGUUAAUUAAAGCAGGAUCCACUGCUUUAAUUAACUGCUUGUUUAUUUCAUUCCAGUCUGGCUUUUCGUAUGAAAAAGAUCUUUGUUCUGCUAAAUGGCUUUUAUGGCUAUUUAGAAAACAUUAUUACAAUAGAAAACAGUAACUGAGGAAAGAAGGGAGGAUAAGAUCAGAUUGAUUUCAGUCUCUCCUUUUUUGGCCACAGUUGGGAAUGGUGUGUGUUUAUGCAGACUGUGAUAAGAGUCAGAGCCAUCUCUCCUGCAAAUCCAAACAUUGCCUAAUAUGGUCAGGCUUCUCAUUCCUUCUUGUUCUUUAAAUCACAUGCAGGAAGCACACUGUUCUAUGUUUUGUCAGUCUCCUUGCUUCAGCUCAUUUCUCUCUUCUCCCUUUGAUUCACACAGAUCAAGAAUGGUUUGGCAUUUGAGUAGAAAUCAGAUUUAGUUGUUGUUAAUCUGUUUGAAACCAUAAAUAGAGAUGAGACCUGUGCUGAUUUCAGUCACAAUGUAUCAAU